AUAUGAAUUUAUGUUUUUUGUUUAGGCUUCUUUGUUGGAUUCUUGGAUCACAAAAACCAUCCUUUACGACUGCUUCUUUCUCGUUUCAUUCACUAUUAAUUUAAAGUCAAUCUAUAUGAUAUUUCCUGUAAAACAAUAUUAGCCGUACACCAAUUGACCUUAACCUUAUCUUCAGAGGUCCUGUAUAUGGAAAAGAUAUUUCUUUGGCUCGCGAGUAGUUAGAAAUUACUCAUUAUCCAAUUUAUUCAUUCUGUAAAAACUACUUGUUGAACUAAUCUCUUUGCUGCCUUCUGCCACAGAUUGAUGCGAACUCCGAUUUUGUAAAUAAGAAAAGGACAACAGUUGCACUCUUGCCAAAUGGCACUGUGGUUGAAUCUUUCCUUGAGGAUGAGAAAACGUCAGGCUCUGGCACAAGCCCCCUGUCCUAGUACGUUGUCACACUAUGCCAGGGAGCCAAGGAAAGGAGCAGUCAUUUGGUUGAAUCCAGUGUUCUCAUUGGAGAUCGAUCAUUCAAAUUUGGGAGCAAGAUAUUAAGUGACGAUGAUGAGUAAUGGAAGGCAAUGCCUGUGCAUUGCUCUCUGAUCACUAUUCCAAGCAACAGAAAAAUGUCAGCAAGAAGAGUACUACUAAACACACAGAAGAGAUGGCUAUCGUUGAUGAUUUGGUCCUCAGCUCUGAUGAAGAUGUUCCAUUGAAUGACGGUAUUGAGGGAGACUACGGCGAACCUGAAGAAGACUAGCAGGAACGGAGCAGCAAGAAACGGAAACAUGGCGCAGAUAUGCACAAAGGAAAGAAGAAGAGGACGCACGGUAGGUAACACGUGGUUUAGUGUACACCUUGAUAGAGUUUGAAUGAUUUGGGAGAUGAUUAGAUUAAAUCUGAAUUAGUGGAUAUGGAAAAACAUUCAAAUAUGAAAAUGUGCUGUGUUUUUGAGACA
This is an RNA transcript of Salvia hispanica, 937 nucleotides long. It is a transcript of the gene named nucleolar complex-associated protein 2-like, with no coding region annotated. Lineage: Eukaryota; Viridiplantae; Streptophyta; Magnoliopsida; Lamiales; Lamiaceae. The record is from RefSeq and is a predicted model, not a curated record.